GACGAACGCUGGCGGCGUGCUUAACACAUGCAAGUCGAACGGAAAGGCCCUGCUUGCAGGGUACUCGAGUGGCGAACGGGUGAGUAACACGUGGGUGAUCUGCCCUGCACUUCGGGUUAAGCCUGGGCAACUGGGUCUAAUACCGGAUAGGAGCCAUUUUUAGUGUGAUGGUUGGAAAGUUUUUUCGGUGUAGGAUGAGCUCGCGGCCUAUCAGCUUGUUGGUGGGGUAAUGGCCUACCAAGGCGGCGACGGGUAGCCGGCCUGAGAGGGUGGACGGCCACAUUGGGACUGAGAUACGGCCCAGACUCCUACGGGAGGCAGCAGUGGGGAAUAUUGCACAAUGGGCGCAAGCCUGAUGCAGCGACGCCGCGUGGGGGAUGACGGCCUUCGGGUUGUAGACUCCGUUCGCUAGGGACGAAGCUUUUUGUGACGGUACCUAGAUAAGAAGCACCGGCUAACUACGUG
Molecule: ribosomal RNA, 465 nt
Filed under: uncultured bacterium
Lineage: Bacteria
Description: partial 16S ribosomal RNA
Rfam family: Bacterial small subunit ribosomal RNA
Source: RNAcentral